AUUCAUACGAUGAUCAAGAGGAGUACAUGAGAAAAAAAGUUUUAGAGAGAAAAUGCAGGGCUGGAACAUUUUCACUUUGACUCAUGGAAGGUAGCUUGGGAGUUUUGUAUUCUGAACGUUAGUAAGAAUACACGGCGCAUGACCGUUAACCCAUGAUUGAGCGGCAGAAAAAUGUUUCUGCAAUUUAGGUGGUACCGCGUAUUUUACGUCCUAGAA
This 216-nucleotide non-coding RNA is filed under the name Enterococcus hermanniensis. RNAcentral's name for it is "T-box sequence". It matches the Rfam family "T-box leader". Rfam says of the family: Uncharged tRNA acts as the effector for transcription antitermination of genes in the T-box leader family. T-boxes are found upstream of many aminoacyl-tRNA synthetase genes and some amino acid biosynthetic genes usually in Gram-positive bacteria. The record is from RNAcentral. Lineage: Bacteria; Bacillati; Bacillota; Bacilli; Lactobacillales; Enterococcaceae.